UCGCACAUAGUCCAGAUCCUCUGAGAUAAUUCAAGUCCAUUCUUAAUCUUCAUAGGUUAUAGGUCCAAACCCCGAUUAAGAACGGAACUGUUGUAAUAACCACGAACAGGUACGAACCUGGCCGGAUACGGAAAUUCUAUAAGGUGGCGUUGAAAACUAAAUUGACAUACAUUUAGGUUAUGUGUGAAGCAGUCCGCUCCAUCUACAAUUAAAUCUGAAAGGAACACACCAACCAAACGAGGCGGAAGAUAUUUGGCGCACUUAAGACCGUUUAUCCGCUCAUCAACAGAAAGAGCCCACUCGGCGUGCAGAGCAAGAUUCUCCUUUACAAAACCCUGAUCCGACCCAUCAUAACUUACGGCUGCCCUGUCUGGUCGACAAUAACAAAGACGAACAUGCUGGUACUUCAACGCAUACAAAACAAAAUGCUAAGACACGCGAAAAA
Molecule: long non-coding RNA, 445 nt
Organism: Aethina tumida (small hive beetle)
Lineage: Eukaryota; Metazoa; Arthropoda; Insecta; Coleoptera; Nitidulidae
Exons: 3
Source: RefSeq, a predicted model, not a curated record